RNAcentral lists this small RNA (961 nucleotides) under Pongo abelii (Sumatran orangutan). RNAcentral's name for it is "processed transcript". Lineage: Eukaryota; Metazoa; Chordata; Mammalia; Primates; Hominidae. The record is from RNAcentral.
AUGUCGGAGGCGCGUGGAGAGCCAGGGUCCGGGCCUGAGGCUGGCGCCCGAUUCUUUUGCACUGCGGGUCGCGGCCUGGAGCCGUUCCUUAUGCGGGAGGUGCGGGCGCGGCUGGCGGCCACGCAGGUUGAAUAUAUUUCAGGAAAGGUUUUUUUCACCACCUGUUCUGAUUUGAAUAUGUUGAAGAAAUUAAAAUCUGCAGAAAGAUUAUUUUUGCUGAUUAAAAAGCAGUUUCCACUUAUUAUUUCUUCUGUAAGUAAAGGAAAAAUAUUUAAUGAAAUGCAAAGACUUAUAAAUGAAGAUCCAGGAAGUUGGUUGAAUGCCAUUUCAAUUUGGAAAAAUCUUCUCGAACUUGAUGCAAAAAAGGAAAAACUUUCUCAGAGAGAUGAUAACCAACUGAAAAGAAAAGUGGGAGAAAAUGAAAUCAUUGCAAAGAAAUUAAAAAUAGAACAAAUGCAAAAGAUAGAAGAGAAUAGGGACUGCCAGCUGGAAAAACAAAUAAAAGAAGAAACUCUGGAGCAAAGAGAUUUUACCACUAAAAGCGAAAACUUUCAAGAAGAAGAAUUUCAGAAUGACAUAGAGAAAGCAAUUGAUACUCAUAAUCAGAAUGACUUGACUUUCAGAGUAUCUUGUCGCUGCAGUGGAACUAUUGGAAAGGCCUUCACUGCACAGAUGUCCUUUGUAUUUGGAAAUCCUGACACCAUAGUCCUCAGCUUUUGGGGUUUCUCUUCAGUUCAGCUUUAUGCUUAUUCAGUGGCUACUCUGCACAGGUCCUGUACAUGGGAUUGUCACCAGGACCUAGACUGCAAAUGCACGUGAGGUCUCAGCAAUGUAGAGAAGAGCGAACACCACAAACUGUUGCCAUCACCAGACCUCAUCAGUUGGCCCUUACAAAGUUCAGUGAUGUUAAAGGCCAUUGGUCUGAAUACUUUAUCAACCUUAAAAUCAGUCAGACCCUAAA